CCCAGAACUUGCCAGUCAAGAUGAAAAACUUCUUCUAAUGUAAUCCAGCUUGAAAGCUACUCAAGAGCAGCUAACUGAGCAAAUAGCAGAAACAGUUCGCCAAGAACAGAACAGUAGAAAACCCCAGGCAGAGCUGAAGACAGUGACAGAAGGGAUUAUUGCUUCUGAAGAAGAAAAAAAUGAUUACAAAUCAGUUGCUGUAUUGAAGAUCAAGAGCAAUAAAGUUGUUUGCUUCAUUGAAGAUCAGUUUCUUUAUUGAAGAUCAAUAGCACUGAGAUUUUACAGCUCAUUCAGGAUGGACUAGAAACUGCUCCUCAAAAGAGGCAAAUGACCUACUGUUUAAAAGGGCAAGCACGCAGACAGUGGCAACCCAGCGUCUGAACCUAUGGCUCUUUGUUAAACUUGAACAGAUUAACAGUAAGUCAUAAAAUAUAUGAUUCUAUGUUAUUUUGUACUGUACAUACUAGAAACUAAUAGUUUACUUAUCUGUCCAAAUGUACAUUAUACAUAAGGACCGUCUGAAAAAGAGACCCAAGUAAACGUAAAAAGAUAUACCAUAUUUUCACAAUUCAAAGAUUAUCUUUUUAAAUAUUUUAAUAUUUUUGAG
This 607-nucleotide long non-coding RNA is filed under the name Macaca mulatta (Rhesus monkey). Its description in RNAcentral is "lncRNA (ENSMMUG00000051490.1)". The record is from RNAcentral. Lineage: Eukaryota; Metazoa; Chordata; Mammalia; Primates; Cercopithecidae.